GACGAACGCUGGCGGCGUGCUUAACACAUGCAAGUCGAACGGUGAACUCCGCUUGCGGGGGGAUCAGUGGCGAACGGGUGAGUAACACGUGGGCAACCUGCCCUCAGCUCUGGGAUAACUCCAAGAAAUUGGGGCUAAUACCGGAUAUGACCGCUGACCGCAUGGUCUGGUGGUGGAAAGAUUUAUCGGCUGGGGAUGGGCCCGCGGCCUAUCAGCUUGUUGGUGGGGUAGUGGCCUACCAAGGCGACGACGGGUAGCCGGCCUGAGAGGGUGACCGGCCACACUGGGCCUGAGACACGGCCCAGACUCCUACGGGAGGCAGCAGUGGGGAAUAUUGCGCAAUGGGCGAAAGCCUGACGCAGCGACGCCGCGUGGGGGAUGACGGCCUUCGGGUUGUAAACCUCUUUCAGCAGGGACGAAGCGAAAGUGACGGUACCUGCAGAAGAAGCACCGGCCAACUACGUG
This 465-nucleotide ribosomal RNA is filed under the name uncultured bacterium. RNAcentral's name for it is "partial 16S ribosomal RNA". It matches the Rfam family "Bacterial small subunit ribosomal RNA", at positions 28 to 507 of the family's 1533-position model. The record is from RNAcentral.